Molecule: ribosomal RNA, 489 nt
Filed under: uncultured Sphingobacteriales bacterium
Lineage: Bacteria; Pseudomonadati; Bacteroidota; Sphingobacteriia; Sphingobacteriales
Description: bacterial SSU rRNA
Rfam family: Bacterial small subunit ribosomal RNA
Source: RNAcentral
GCUCAGAACUUAAAGGAAUUGACGGGGCCCGCACAAGCGGAGGAGCAUGUGGUUUAAUUCGAUGAUACGCGAGGAACCUUACCUGGGCUCGAACGUAAGAUGACUGUAGGUGAAAGCUUACAUCUCUUCGGAGCAUUUUACGAGGUGCUGCAUGGUUGUCGUCAGCUCGUGCCGUGAGGUGUCGGGUUAAGUCCCAUAACGAGCGCAACCCCUACCUUUAGUUGCCAUCAGGUUAAGCUGGGGACUCUAAAGGAACUGCCUACGCAAGUAGUGAGGAAGGCGGGGAUGACGUCAAAUCAGCACGGCCCUUACGUCCAGGGCUACACACGUGCUACAAUGGCCGAUACAGAGGGCAGCUACCUGGUGACAGGAUGCAAAUCUCCAAAGUCGGUCUCAGUUCGGAUCGGAGUCUGCAACCCGACUCCGUGAAGUUGGAUUCGCUAGUAAUCGCGCAUCAGCCAUGGCGCGGUGAAUACGUUCCCGGGCCUU